ACGGCACCACCAUCCAAAUUUCCACCGGUCUAAAAUGGUAAAUGUCAAUUAAACAAGAAAUAGGAUCAAACUUUAAUCCUCCACACAAGAAUGAGUUGCAGAUAAGCAUCAGACCACACAAGAAUUCAUCAUAAUACUAUAACAAUAAAUAUUCAUCAAUCAUCAGAAAAAUAAAAGUCCCUAAAUGCCAAAUCAAAAUCCACCGUCGAAGGUGAGGGAUAACUCAAUCUACGGACCCACCACGCCAUCAAUCGAAGCAACCACCGCACCAUCAAAUUUGUUUUUUGUUCUCCUCCGGCAAAGCCAUGGCAUUCAAGCUCGAGACCUUCGUCGAGAGAAAAAAGACCUCCAUUGAGAAGUUGUUGGGGGUAAUUGGAGAACUAUCCAUCCCAGAGCAUUGUGGACAAGUUGGGCGUUGCAAUUCUUGCGGAUUUGUGUUUCAUUCAUGGCUUCGAUUUAAUGACUCUAGUGGUGUUGAUUAAGGGCUUGCUUUAGAUCUAGAAG
This 504-nucleotide long non-coding RNA is filed under the name Glycine max (soybean). RNAcentral describes it as "long non-coding RNA (GMAX_LNC000055)". The record is from RNAcentral. Lineage: Eukaryota; Viridiplantae; Streptophyta; Magnoliopsida; Fabales; Fabaceae.